AGAGAUAAGGGACAACUAUUUUAGAAACUAAAAGACAAUUGAUCCCUCAUGUGGCUGGCAAUGUGUCCAUGCUCACAGAGCAGGCAUCAGAUGGGCACUCUUUUCUCAGUGCACUCCUGUUAGCAGGAUUGGAGAGCCAGCGCCCUCCACACUGUGCAGACAAGUGACACCAUGCAGUGAAGCACCUGAUUGCAUGGACAGGCUGUUAAGUGGUAGAGGAGUAGAAGAUUAAUGAAAGACUGCAAGGUAAUUACAGAUGGCUCUGGAAGAAGGUUCAAUCCAGUGCAGGAGCAGCUGUGGUUACCGGCACAAGACCUGCACAAACAAAAAGAUGUGAUAAGAAGAGAACCUGUUAGGAGAAUAAAAGGGGUCAGCAGAAGUGGAAGGGAAGAGAAUGAAAUGGACAGAAGUUAGUCAACCUGUUACUCAUACUGAGCAAUGACAGCAACUUGCUCUUGAUCUCCAGAAGACAUUUCUCUCUUUUUUUUUUUUAAUGUAUAAUCGGAAUGAAUGGCAAAGCAAAUGGCUUAAAGUUCUUUCAACCAUCUUGGACAGAGCUAAGUGCUGUGAUGACUAAUCUUGGUUGUGGACUUGACUGGAUCUGGAAUCAACUAAAAUGCAAGUCUCUGGGCAAUCAUAUGAGGAACUUUCUUGAUCAGAUUCUUCGAGGCUAGAAGACCAAACCAAAAUAUGGGUGGCACCUUCUGGUGGUAGCCCAUGUAAAAGGACUUGGCAGAAAGAAACUCUUUUUUGGUCUUUUUGAGACAGGGUCUCCUAGUAGCCCCAGCUGACCUGGAACUCACUGUGUAGACCAGG
Long non-coding RNA from Nannospalax galili (Upper Galilee mountains blind mole rat), 816 nucleotides. RefSeq lists it as uncharacterized. The record is from RefSeq and is a predicted model, not a curated record. The transcript is spliced from 4 exons. NCBI's taxonomy places the organism in Eukaryota, Metazoa, Chordata, Mammalia, Rodentia, Spalacidae.